This 68-nucleotide transfer RNA is filed under the name Moenkhausia costae. RNAcentral describes it as "tRNA-Glu". It matches the Rfam family "tRNA". Rfam says of the family: Transfer RNA (tRNA) molecules are approximately 80 nucleotides in length. Their secondary structure includes four short double-helical elements and three loops (D, anti-codon, and T loops). The record is from RNAcentral. Lineage: Eukaryota; Metazoa; Chordata; Actinopteri; Characiformes; Acestrorhamphidae.
GUUCUUGUAGUUGAAUACAACAGUGGUUUUUCAAGUCACAGGUCUUGGUUAAAAUCCAAGCGGGAAUC